UUCAGAAUCUUGACUAUCUGCUCUACUUGAACUGAAUGUGAAAGCACACACUGAAAUUCAAUUGCAACUAGAUCUACAUCUACAUCAGAAAGAAUAUCAAAUCCAGGUCCCAAUCACAACACAAACCAGACCAUUGGCCCAUGUUAAUGUUGACACCAUCUUGCAUGCACUAGAAUAACUCAUUCAUUCCAAUGAAAAUCACACUUGUAUUCCAGGCUAUAUAGCUUGCAUGCCAAUCAAGGAGCACGGCAGACACACCAUGCUACAGGUGUCUUGUGUUAUCCUCAGGCAGUUGCUCUGUACUGUCUUGUCCAAGCAUCAGAAGCUUCUUGCGAACUUGAGCAUUGCCGAAUCCUUGAGGACACAGCUCUGCAAGUGCCGCCACUCUUCCGAAGUCCGCAGAACAGAACAAGAAGGGAAUCAUGCAUACGCGGCAUCCUCGCAGGUCCAGCACACGCGCCCAGUCACCCUGCUGAGUCAGCGCAGCGCGCGCAGCACAGCUACCAAUAACAGGAGCAAGCUCAGCUUGAACUGAUCACACUUUGGCCGUGAACGUGCUAAUUCGGCUGGGACCGGGCCCAUCUAGCUCCCAUUCUGACAAAUGAGCCUCAAUCAUGCAA
This 620-nucleotide long non-coding RNA is filed under the name Coccomyxa subellipsoidea. RNAcentral describes it as "long non-coding RNA (CSUB_LNC000789)". The record is from RNAcentral. Lineage: Eukaryota; Viridiplantae; Chlorophyta; Trebouxiophyceae; Coccomyxaceae.